Molecule: ribosomal RNA, 489 nt
Filed under: uncultured Microgenomates group bacterium
Lineage: Bacteria
Description: bacterial SSU rRNA
Rfam family: Bacterial small subunit ribosomal RNA
Source: RNAcentral
GACAGCUAGGGGAGCGAAAGGGAUUAGAGACCCCUGUAGUCCUAGCCGUAAACUUUGCUCGCUAGGGAUGGGGCCGUAAGGCUUCGUCCCGUAAGCUAACGCGUUAAGCGAGCCGCCUGGGGAGUACGGCCGCAAGGCUAAAACUCAAAGGAAUUGACGGGGACCCGCACAACCAGUGGAGCAUGUGGUUUAAUUCGAGACAAAACGAAAGACCUCACCCAGCCUUGACAUAAUACCGUUUUAAGCACCUAGAAAUAGGAGCCUAUCUUUAGAAAUAUUGAUGGUACUACAGGUGUUGCAUGGCCGUCGUCAGCUCGUGCCGUAGGGUGUUCCCUUCAGUGGGGUAACGAGCGCAACCCUUGCCGCAAGUUGAAUAUUCUUGCGGGACUUCCUAAAUUUAUUUUAGGAGGAAGUGAGGACGACGUCAGGUCAGCAUGGCCCUUAUAGCUGGGGCAACACACAUACUACAAUGGAGCCGACAGAGGGUUG